This 197-nucleotide unclassified non-coding RNA is filed under the name uncultured fungus. RNAcentral's name for it is "sequence contains ITS1". The record is from RNAcentral. Lineage: Eukaryota; Fungi.
GUUUAUUUGUACAUUGUACAUUUGACAUUCCGUUACAUUCAGAGUGUGUAAAAGUACUCUCAGUCAUUACAACCUCGAGUCAAAGAUGCACAGGUGUGUGGAUUUGCGACCAGACGUGCACAUGUGUUUCCACCAGCACAGAACAGGCCGACUUUGAAGUUUCAUUAAUGAUCCUUCCGCAGGUUCACCUACGGAAA